This is a long non-coding RNA of Sarcophilus harrisii (Tasmanian devil), 380 nucleotides long. RefSeq lists it as uncharacterized. The transcript is spliced from 3 exons. The record is from RefSeq and is a predicted model, not a curated record. NCBI's taxonomy places the organism in Eukaryota, Metazoa, Chordata, Mammalia, Dasyuromorphia, Dasyuridae.
AAUUCUUUUAUUUUUUUCACUUGCUGUCUGGAAAAUGUGGGAUGAAGAGAGUGAAGCAGAAACAUUGGGAACACAAAGUUUGACAACAAUAAAUGCUGAAAACUCUAUUUGGAAAAAUACUAAUUUCAAGAUUAAAAACAUAAAUUUUAAAAUGAAUCGUAUAGCAUAUGAAAUUUUCCAAGUUGGUCUCCCUCCAUGAUGCAGUUCUCAAUUGGGACAGGUGAAAGAGAACAAAGAAAGAGGGUAUCAGUCAUAUAAAGUAACCAGGAAAUGAAGAGGAAUCAUUUUCUGGAAUUUCUCUUAAAUUGAGAAGAAGAGACAUCAGAAUUCUGGACUCCCACUGCUGGAAUACAAUUUGGGGAUAUUGAUUCAACUUUAAC